Molecule: microRNA, 24 nt
Filed under: Ananas comosus (pineapple)
Lineage: Eukaryota; Viridiplantae; Streptophyta; Magnoliopsida; Poales; Bromeliaceae
Description: microRNA s1426_c073b
Source: RNAcentral
AAAGAAGAAGGUGAGCAACAUUGG